CAGAACAGCCAGCUCCCCCUGUGGCCGCCAAAACAGCUCAAUCUGCGGCGCCAGAAGACCCAGCUCCCCCAUGUGGCCGUCAUCAGAGCUCCCCAUGCGGCCGCCAGCACACAGGUAGCAAUUAUGUGUGUCAGUGUGAGUGUACAUGUGUGUCUGUCUGUGUCAUGAUGUGUGUGCGUCUGUGUCAUGGUGUGUGUGUCUGUGUCAUUGUGUGUCUCUGUCUGUGCCAUGGUGUGUGUGUGUGUGUGUUUGUCUGUGUCAUGCAAUGUGUGUCUGUGUCAUUGUGUGUGUGUCUCUGUCUGUCAUGGUGUGUGCGUCUGUCUGUGUCAUGCAAUGUGUGUCUAUGUCAUUGUGUGUGUGUGUCUGUCAUGUAAUGUGUAUCUGUCUGUGUCAUUGUGUGUGUUUGUCAUGGUGUGUGUGUGUAUGUAUGUCAUGGUGUGUGUGUGUGUCUGUGUCAUGUAAUGUGUGUCUGUCUGUGUCACGGUGUGUGUGUCUCUGUCACGGUGUGUGUGUCUGUCUGUGUCAUUGUGUGUCUGUCUGUCAUGGUGUGUCUGUGUUUCUGUCUGUGUCACGGUGUGUGUGUGUUUCUGUCUGUGUCACGGUGUGUUUGUGUCUGUGUCACGGUCUGUCUGUGUCAUGGUGUGUGUCUGUCAUGGUAUGUGUGUGUGUAUAUGUGUUUUUACUCACCUUUUUUCCCCCCCCACGUUGUGCUGGUCUCCCCUCGACCAGCUACGGCUGAGAUCAUCAAGCUUGAUGAUCUCAGCCAAUCCGCACUGACACAAGAAGCACCUCUACUGACCUUCUGAGUGUCUGUCACUAGGAAGCAAUGUAAACACUGCCUUUUCUCUAAAAAGUCAGUGUUUACAUUGAAAAGCCUGCAG
Molecule: non-coding RNA, 881 nt
Organism: Pelobates cultripes (western spadefoot toad)
Lineage: Eukaryota; Metazoa; Chordata; Amphibia; Anura; Pelobatidae
Source: the annotation of a GenBank genome assembly